Molecule: ribosomal RNA, 121 nt
Filed under: Bison bison bison
Lineage: Eukaryota; Metazoa; Chordata; Mammalia; Artiodactyla; Bovidae
Source: RNAcentral
AACCGCCACCGUCUCAGCCUGAAGGCGACCGAUCUCGUCUGAUCUCGGAAGCUAAGCAGGGUCGGGCCUGGUUAGGAUCUUGGAUGGGAGACCACCUGGGAAUCCCGGGUGCUCGAGGCUU